RNAcentral lists this ribosomal RNA (281 nucleotides) under Thera juniperata. RNAcentral describes it as "partial 28S ribosomal RNA". It matches the Rfam family "Eukaryotic large subunit ribosomal RNA", at positions 76 to 338 of the family's 3401-position model. The record is from RNAcentral. Lineage: Eukaryota; Metazoa; Arthropoda; Insecta; Lepidoptera; Geometridae.
UUCCUUAGUAGCGGCGAGCGAACAGGAAUAAGCCCAGCACUGAAUCCCGCCGUUGUAACGGCGGCGGGAGAUGUGGUGUUCGGGAGGUUCCGCUUUCUUGUCGUCGUCCACUCCUGUCCAAGUUCGUCUUGAACGGGGCCCAUUUCCCAUAGAGGGUGCCAGGCCCGUAGCGACGGAGGACGGCGGCGAGAGGGACUCUCCUCAGAGUCGGGUUGCUUGAGAGUGCAGCCCUAAGYGGGUGGUAAACUCCAUCUAAGGCUAAAUAUUACCGCGAGACCGAU